GUUGAAACUGCCGCAUUAAAUAUCUGGCCACCCAAGGAAAGUCUGCACUCCUAAAAAUCAUCCCCAAUUAGUCCUGGAGGCUGUAGACGGGAUUAAAUCUGGAGCGGGCCACGGGUUUUAUUGCAUCCACUGAAAAUGGAUAUUUAACAAAUCGUUGAACACAUUUUUAUGUGGCCGUAGGCUGUGGCAAAGAAGAGCAGCGAAAUUCAUAAGGCUCACUGCUACACGUGGGUGGGAAAUAUAUUUUAUGAAAAAAAAAUCACAGACUGCACUUUCUUCUUUGCAGGGGUUUUAGGAUAGCGAGAGGACAGGAGGUGAUUGUUGGAGGAGGAGGAGG
Cyprinus carpio (common carp) is the source of this 337-nucleotide long non-coding RNA. RefSeq lists it as uncharacterized. Lineage: Eukaryota; Metazoa; Chordata; Actinopteri; Cypriniformes; Cyprinidae. The record is from RefSeq and is a predicted model, not a curated record. The transcript is spliced from 3 exons.